GUCCACGCCGUAAACGGUGGAUGCUGGAUGUGGGGCCCUUUCCACGGGUCCCGUGUCGGAGCCAACGCGUUAAGCAUCCCGCCUGGGGAGUACGGCCGCAAGGCUAAAACUCAAAGAAUUGACGGGGCCCGCACAAGCGGCGGAGCAUGCGGAUUAAUUCGAUGCAACGCGAAGAACCUUACCUGGGGCUUGACAUGUGCCGGAUCGCCGUGGAGACACGGUUUCCCUCGGGGCCGGUUCACAGGUGGUGCAUGGUUGUCGU
This 262-nucleotide ribosomal RNA is filed under the name uncultured bacterium. Its description in RNAcentral is "partial 16S ribosomal RNA". It matches the Rfam family "Bacterial small subunit ribosomal RNA", at positions 793 to 1055 of the family's 1533-position model. The record is from RNAcentral.